Lolium perenne is the source of this 3173-nucleotide non-coding RNA. NCBI's taxonomy places the organism in Eukaryota, Viridiplantae, Streptophyta, Magnoliopsida, Poales, Poaceae. The record is from RefSeq and is a predicted model, not a curated record.
GUUACCAUAUUUUUAUUUUAUGUUUACUUAUCUUAUGCUAUUGUUUAUGAAUUGUCAUUUGGGUUUCUGACCUAUAUAACUUUCUGCGGUUUCUUGAAAUUCUCUAUGGUAGUGUGUUUUUGUCUUUCAUACAGUAUAACUAUGCCAUGGGCAGCUGAUCAUAUAACAAGAUACUAAAAGCGUACCUAUAUCCAAAGCUGCAUGCACACAGCCUUUAUAAUCUAGCAGCGCCAUCUCACCCCAAGUCUUUAAGUGUCAAUCCGCCCUUCAGAGUUCCCCCGUUGAUGAUAAAAGGUAUCCAAAUUAACAUAAUAACUUACUAUGUUUAUUAUCAAGGAAUUUGUAUAUAUGCAUAUGCUACUGCUAAUUGGACCGUUUGUGAGAAAUGCCACUACAUGUUUUAAUUUCUUAGAGCAGCCACAAUGGGACGCUUAACCAUCAGCGCUAGAUCCUGGCUGUUUUAGCUAAUUCCCGGUGAUUUUGCUGGCAUCGACGCAUAAUUUAGAGUCUGGCGCUUCAUUAUUGAGUGCAAAAUAUGGAAACCAAGCAGUGGACGCUUGCUGCAUGAAGUAACUGCCAUUUUAAGCGCCUGAUUUAGCGUCUCCGUGGUGUGGGUGCUCUUAGUAUGGCAUUUUUCAGUCGCAGAGUUUUGAACAAUCCCAUUAAGUCAAGAACUCGACAACAAUUCAUCAUUUCUCUCCCCUCUCCACCAAUCCCCAACCUCCUGGCAGCUCGCCUUGUGCUGGUGACUCCAUCUGCACAUGUGUGGCUGGUUGUGUCCCUUGCGGUGGCGAGUGGGUAGAUGUGGGCGUGGGCUUGGCCUGUUGUUGUAGGUUUUCGCCCGGUUUUCUCCAAAAAACUGGGCACCUUCUGCUUUUGCCUCCGUUUCAAAAAAAAAAAAAAUCUGCACAUGUGUGGCAUGUUUGGGCCAGGCCGGAAGUCGCAGCCCAAGCCUGGCUGAAAAUAUCUCCAGGUUGCAAAGCCAGGCGCAAGUACGGUCUCAUUGAACUCGCCGUGGAGGGUGAGUACUGGGACUUUCCGAGCGACCAUGUCCUAGAGGUUUUGGGUUUAGGGCAUCUCCAACGGGCGACAUAAACGGACGCUGAGCGACUGUUUGCGUCCGCGCGGGCCGAAAAUGCGUCUGGAACACGCUCAAGCGGGACAACGCAUAGUGUCCGGGCCGUCCGCAGCAACGCAAACGCGGCGCAUAUUUGCGCCUCGGAUGCGUCGCGGCGGACGCUGCGCGGACGCCCCAAGUGACCGCUCGCUUUUCCACCGGUCCCGCUUGGUAGCGAGCCUGUAUCGUGGGCAUCGCUUUCGUGGUCGCAGCCUUCGCCAUCAAUGUCGCGGCGCGCACUAGCGGGCGGCUGGGCUUCUGCGCCACCUUCAAUGGCAUCGUGUCCCGCGCACGGCCGGCCUUAAACGUUGACCGGCAUCGUUGCUGGCAUCGCCCACACCACGGACACCUCCACACCCACCACCGCCGCGCGCCGCUGCAGCACCAUGGGGAAGAAGAAGAACGACUUCGAGGCGUCCGGCAGCGGCACCAAGAAGGCAGAGCGGACGCACAGGGUGCUGCUGCCCGUCAACGUGGCGCGGCUCAUGCACGCGAACUGGACAGACGUGGCGGCUCAGCUACCUCCGGGUGCCCGUGCCUGCGCGCGAGCCAUAUAGGAGCGCUCAGAUCCGGCGCAGGCGGCGGUACCUGCCGCCGGACCUUCGCGCUGAUCCCGCCUACGCCCUCGACUCUGACACCUGGCGCACUUGGCGCGAGACCGAGAAGGAUCUGAGGAGGAGGGCGGGCUUCCUCGCCGACAGGGACUUCCCGUUUCACCAUCCACCGCCGCCUCGUCGUCGAACACGGCAGCCGCCGGCGCCUGCAAAGGACGACUACGACGACGAGGACUACAGCGAGGCGUUGGCCUACCAUAACGAGAAGACCAAGGACGACAGCGACGACUACGUCGCCUGCAUUUUCCAAGAAUGUCAGUUGGCCAUAGCGGAGGGCCGGGAGUUCGAGUACCCGGCGACGAUGACGGACGACGAGGUCGCGAGGCUCGGCGUCCUCGACUCAGAGGUGGACCGACCGGUGCAGCCGCCGCUGUCCCGGUUUGCCACCGGCAUGAUCCGGGCCUCACGGAGGAAGAGGCCCUAUGACGGGCGCUCGAGGACUCGGCCACGCAACCGGUUCAACCGCCGCCUCCACCUUCGCCAUACAACCCGUGGGGGCCUCCACCUCCACCACCGGCGUGGGCUGCUCAACCUCCACCACCGGAGUUGGCUGCUCCACUUCCACCACCGGUGUGGGCUGCUCCACCUCCACCACCGGCGUGGGCUGCUCCACCUCCACCACCGCCGGCGGCACCGGCGUAUGUUCCGCCGCUUCCCAACUGGCCGUGGCCGGUAUCGGAGCUGGCCGUGACCGACAGCGACGACGAGAACCAGUAGGCGCAGGCGUUCUUAGGGUUUUUAUUUUCCUUUCUUUUACUAUGUAAAUUAUGUUCAAAAAAUGCAAAAUCGAAAAAAUGUGUCGUGCCGCUGGAGCCACCCCCGACGCAAACGGACGAGCGGUCGAUUUCGACCAUUUGGGCCGACGCAAACGACGCGCGCGGACAUUUUCGGUGUCCGAAAUGCGUUGCCCUGUUGGAGAUGCCCUUAUGGUGGAGGCCGGAUAGCAGCAAGAUGACCAUAUCUGGGAGUGGAGGAGACCAGUGAGGACAAGCUGUCCAUGGCCCAUGGAUGUGGAGUGGUCUACUGGGUAUUUUUCUAGCUUGGAGGUCUCUUAUCCAGCUCUGUGGCCAGAACACAGCUUGGGAGGCGACGGAAGUGGCGGGGAACGAUAAGGGAUGAAGGAUGUGAAAGAGGCCAUGCAUUGUUGUCUAAGUUUAACAUAAUAUAACCAAUCUAUUUGAAAACCAAUCUUGAACUCGCCGUGGAGAGUGAGUCUGUAUAGCGAAGGAAAAAGGCGCUGGUUUCUCCUGCUAUCUGUACAGACGACUUGUUGUCUCCCGUCAGCUCUCCAGAUGACUUGUUGUCUCCCUCCAGCUGCCGGGAUGACUUGGCGUUGUUUAGUUGACACUGACAACCUUAGAGGCUGUGUGAAACCAAAAAUUUACUUAAAGAAAACAGCAGAGUAUUUUUUUUUCUGAAGUAAGUUAUGACAAUUUGUCAAU